GAGAACCUUACUAGGUCCAGACAGGGGAGGGAUUGACAGUUUGAUAGCGCUUUCUUGAUUCUUUGGGUGGUGGUGCAUGGCCGUUCUUAGUUGGUGGAGCGAUUUGUCUGGUUAAUUCCGUUAACGAACGAGACCUUUACUAUCUAAAUAGCACAAUAUAACAAGAUUAUGCUGUUGUUUCUUAGAAGGACUACUUGCUUUUUCAGCAAGGGGAAGCUUAAGGCAAUAA
Molecule: ribosomal RNA, 229 nt
Filed under: uncultured eukaryote
Lineage: Eukaryota
Description: partial 18S ribosomal RNA
Rfam family: Eukaryotic small subunit ribosomal RNA
Source: RNAcentral